Molecule: ribosomal RNA, 675 nt
Filed under: Craneopsylla minerva wolffheuglia
Lineage: Eukaryota; Metazoa; Arthropoda; Insecta; Siphonaptera; Stephanocircidae
Description: SSU rRNA
Rfam family: Eukaryotic small subunit ribosomal RNA
Source: RNAcentral
UUAGAUCGUACCCACAUUACUUGGAUAACUGUGGUAAUUCUAGAGCUAAUACAUGCAAAUAGAGUUCCGACCAGAGAUGGAAGGAAUGCUUUUAUUAGAUCAAAACCAAUCGGUGGCGGGCGCUCGCGCGCCUCGCUCACCGUUUGACUUGGUGACUCUGAAUAACUUUCUGCUGAUCGCACGGUCUCGUACCGGCGACGCAUCUUUCAAAUGUCUGCCUUAUCAACUGUCGAUGGUAGUUUCUGCGACUACCAUGGUUGUUACGGGUAACGGGGAAUCAGGGUUCGAUUCCGGAGAGGGAGCCUGAGAAACGGCUACCACAUCCAAGGAAGGCAGCAGGCGCGCAAAUUACCCACUCCCGGCACGGGGAGGUAGUGACGAAAAAUAACGAUACGGGACUCAUCCGAGGCCCCGUAAUCGGAAUGAGUACACUUUAAAUCCUUUAACGAGGACCCAUUGGAGGGAAAGUCUGGUGCCAGCAGCCGCGGUAACACCAGCUCCAAUAGCGUAUAUUAAAGUUGUUGCGGUUAAAAAGCUCGUAGUUGAAUCUGUGUCCCACACUGUCGGUUCACCGCUCGCGGUGUCCAACUGGCAUGUCUGUGGGACGUCCUACCGGUGGGCGCAGCCCGUCAAAAGGCGGCCCAACUCAAAAUCCUACCACGGUGCUCUCACCGA